ACGAACGCUGGCGGCGUGCCUAAUACAUGCAAGUCGAACGCUUCUUUCCUCCCGAGUGCUUGCACUCACUUGGAAAGAGGAGUGGCGGACGGGUGAGUAACACGUGGGUAACCUACCCAUCAGAGGGGGAUAACACUUGGAAACAGGUGCUAAUACCGCAUAACAGUUUAUGCCGCAUGGCAUAAGAGUGAAAGGCGCUUUCGGGUGUCGCUGAUGGAUGGACCCGCGGUGCAUUAGCUAGUUGGUGAGGUAACGGCUCACCAAGGCCACGAUGCAUAGCCGACCUGAGAGGGUGAUCGGCCACACUGGGACUGAGACACGGCCCAGACUCCUACGGGAGGCAGCAGUAGGGAAUCUUCGGCAAUGGACGAAAGUCUGACCGAGCAACGCCGCGUGAGUGAAGAAGGUUUUCGGAUCGUAAAACUCUGUUGUUAGAGAAGAACAAGGACGUUAGUAACUGAACGUCCCCUGACGGUAUCUAACCAGAAAGACACGGCUAACUACGUG
This 507-nucleotide ribosomal RNA is filed under the name uncultured bacterium. RNAcentral's name for it is "partial 16S ribosomal RNA". It matches the Rfam family "Bacterial small subunit ribosomal RNA", at positions 29 to 507 of the family's 1533-position model. The record is from RNAcentral.